CGACUGCGGCGACCAAUCAGAUGAGAGUAACUGCAACGUUAACGAGUGUUUGAACCGGCGGACGACCUGUCUGUGGGUUACAAGUGUGUGUGCUGGCCUGGUUUCCGUCUGAAGACAGACGUACGGACGUGUAUAGACAUUAAUGAGUGUGUGGAGAGAUUCCCGUGCAGCCAGCAGUGCAUAAACACGUACAAGUGUGUGUGCGCAGAUGGAUACAAACCUCUGGAGACGGACGCACACAGCUGCAGAGCUGUCUUAGUGAUGGUGUCAGGAAUACGGCUGAUGCACAGAACACACUCGUCUGAACCACAUUUACAGGAAAACCCAGAGCUGUCCUCAACUACAGCGCCGAGAAACCAUUACUCAUCAACUACAAACCAACGCCCUAUAACCCCCCGCUCCUCCGACACCCUUUAACCCCCCUCCUCUGACGCCCUAUAACCACCUCUCCUACAGCGCCCCUUAACCCCCUCUCCUCCGACGCCCUACAACCCCCACUCCUCCAAUGCCCUACAACCACCUCUCCUCCGACGCCCUACAAACACCACUCCUCCGACACCCUUUAACCCCUUCUCCUCCGACGCCCUACAACCCCCUCUCCUCCGACACCCUUUCACCCUCUCUCCUCCGGCGCCCUUUACCCCCCUCUCAUCUGAUGCCCUUUAACCCCCUCUAGUCCGAUGCCCUAUAACCCCUUUUUCUCCGACGCCCUAUAAACCCUUCUCCUCCGACGCCCUUGAACCCCCUCUCUCCUCUGACGCCCUAUAACCCCUCCUCUCGUUCGACGCCCUUUAACCCCCUCUCCUCUGAUGCCCUUUAAUCCCUUCUGUCCUCUGAGGCCCUAUAACCCCUUCUACUCCGACGCCCUUUAACCCCCUCUCCUCCGACGCCAUAUAAUCCCUUCUCCUGCAACACCCUUUAACCCCCUCUCCUCUGACGCCCUUGAACCCCCUCUCCUCUGACGUCCUUUAACCCCCUCUCCGCCAACGCCCUUUAACCCC
Molecule: long non-coding RNA, 1001 nt
Organism: Ictalurus punctatus (channel catfish)
Lineage: Eukaryota; Metazoa; Chordata; Actinopteri; Siluriformes; Ictaluridae
Exons: 3
Source: RefSeq, a predicted model, not a curated record